AGCAUGGUGGUUUAGUGGUUAGCAUGUUUGCCUCACAACUCUGGGGUUGGGGGUUCAAAUCCUGCCUCUGCCC
Ameiurus melas (black bullhead) is the source of this 73-nucleotide non-coding RNA. The record is from the annotation of a GenBank genome assembly. NCBI's taxonomy places the organism in Eukaryota, Metazoa, Chordata, Actinopteri, Siluriformes, Ictaluridae.